GUCCUCUUUAUCGGGUAAUUUUCUGUUGGAGACAACAACAUUAUUUAACACUGCAUGUCUUUAUGCAUGAUCUCCUCUAUCACACACUAUUGCCAUCAUUCUGUUUAUUAAGGCAGAACUUCUGAAUAAUGAUCUGUUGACCUUCCAGGAAACUUAUCUAUUCCACUAAAACAUACAUGUGAUGCUUACAUCUAGAUGAUCCUAGUUGCUUGACUAUCUAUAUAUUUGUGAGAUAUUUAUCAUUGACUAUAACCCCUUUUCUCUUACUUGUUCUCUGCUUUGUAUUACAGGGGCUGGAAGACUGCAGACUACAUUUUCAAAUCCAUUGCCAACUGGUCUACUAUAGGAUUUCUUAAGAAAGUUCCUAGGAUGAUAUGUAAAUCUACUCUUAUUCUUUCUUUGAGCCUAGCUGUUCACACCAAGGAGUUAAAUCUUUAAGGUAAAUACCUAUUUCCUAAAGUAAGUGGUCACAGAUUAGUAUAGAAAAAAAAAAAAAAAUGAAGUUCUG
RNAcentral lists this long non-coding RNA (508 nucleotides) under Bos indicus x Bos taurus (hybrid cattle). RNAcentral describes it as "lncRNA (ENSBIXG00005002653.1)". The record is from RNAcentral. Lineage: Eukaryota; Metazoa; Chordata; Mammalia; Artiodactyla; Bovidae.